AUCGGGGCAGGGUGAGUCGACCCCUAAGGCGAGGCCGAAAGGCGUAGUCGAUGGGAAACAGGUUAAUAUUCCUGUACUUGGUGUUACUGCGAAGGGGGGACGGAGAAGGCUAUGUUGGCCGGGCGACGGUUGUCCCGGUUUAAGCGUGUAGGCUGGUUUUCCAGGCAAAUCCGGAAAACCAAGGCUGAGGCGUGAUGACGAGGCACUACGGUGCUGAAGCGACAAAUGCCCUGCUUCCAGGAAAAGCCUCUAAGCAUCAGGUAACAUCAAAUCGUACCCCAAACCGACACAGGUGGUCAGGUAGAGAAUACCAAGGCGCUUGAGAGAACUCGGGUGAAGGAACUAGGCAAAAUGGUGCCGUAACUUCGGGAGAAGGCACGCUGAUAUGUAGGUGAAGCGACUUGCUCGUGGAGCUGAAAUCAGUCGAAGAUACCAGCUGGCUGCAACUGUUUAUUAAAAACACAGCACUGUGCAAACACGAAAGUGGACGUAUACGGUGUGACGCCUGCCCGGUGCCGGAAGGUUAAUUGAUGGGGUUAGCGGUAACGCGAAGCUCUUGAUCGAAGCCCCGGUAAACGGCGGCCGUAACUAUAACGGUCCUAAGGUAGCGAAAUUCCUUGUCGGGUAAGUUCCGACCUGCACGAAUGGCGUAAUGAUGGCCAGGCUGUCUCCACCCGAGACUCAGUGAAAUUGAACUCGCUGUGAAGAUGCAGUGUACCCGCGGCAAGACGGAAAGACCCCGUGAACCUUUACUAUAGCUUGACACUGAACAUUGAGCCUUGAUGUGUAGGAUAGGUGGGAGGCUUUGAAGUGUGGACGCCAGUCUGCAUGGAGCCGACCUUGAAAUACCACCCUUUAAUGUUUGAUGUUCUAACGUGGGCCCCUAAUCGGGGUUGCGGACAGUGUCUGGUGGGUAGUUUGACUGGGGCGGUCUCCUCCUAAAGAGUAACGGAGGAGCACGAAGGUUGGCUAAUCCUGGUCGGACAUCAGGAGGUUAGUGCAAUGGCAUAAGCCAGCUUGACUGCGAGCGUGACGGCGCGAGCAGGUGCGAAAGCAGGUCAUAGUGAUCCGGUGGUUCUGAAUGGAAGGGCCAUCGCUCAACGGAUAAAAGGUACUCCGGGGAUAACAGGCUGAUACCGCCCAAGAGUUCAUAUCGACGGCGGUGUUUGGCACCUCGAUGUCGGCUCAUCACAUCCUGGGGCUGAAGUAGGUCCCAAGGGUAUGGCUGUUCGCCAUUUAAAGUGGUACGCGAGCUGGGUUUAGAACGUCGUGAGACAGUUCGGUCCCUAUCUGCCGUGGGCGCUGGAGAACUGAGGGGGGCUGCUCCUAGUACGAGAGGACCGGAGUGGACGCAUCACUGGUGUUCGGGUUGUCAUGCCAAUGGCACUGCCCGGUAGCUAAAUGCGGAAGAGAUAAGUGCUGAAAGCAUCUAAGCACGAAACUUGC
Molecule: ribosomal RNA, 1446 nt
Filed under: Escherichia coli
Lineage: Bacteria; Pseudomonadati; Pseudomonadota; Gammaproteobacteria; Enterobacterales; Enterobacteriaceae
Description: partial 23S ribosomal RNA
Rfam family: Bacterial large subunit ribosomal RNA
Source: RNAcentral